UUCAGAAUUUUCCCUUAGUUGAAUAAAAGGUUUUCUCCUGUGUGGGAUGUGCGAUCAGCCUGGUGUUCAGAUCCCCUUAACCAGCCCCACUCUUCCUCUGUCGAGGGAAGCACCACCAGUCAUUGCAGUCGUUCACCGUGUGCGAGACCAGGAGCAUCUCAG
This is a long non-coding RNA of Lagopus leucura (white-tailed ptarmigan), 162 nucleotides long. RefSeq lists it as uncharacterized. The record is from RefSeq and is a predicted model, not a curated record. The transcript is spliced from 3 exons. NCBI's taxonomy places the organism in Eukaryota, Metazoa, Chordata, Aves, Galliformes, Phasianidae.